CCUACGGGAGGCAGCAGUGAGGAAUAUUGGUCAAUGGACGGGAGUCUGAACCAGCCAAGUAGCGUGAAGGAUGACGGCCCUAUGUGUUGUAAACUUCUUUUGUAUGGGAAUAAAACUGGCCACGUGUAGCCGUUUGUAUGUACCUUAUGAAUAAGGAUCGGCUAACUCCGUGCCAGCAGCCGCGGUAAUACGGAGGAUCCGAGCGUUAUCCGGAUUUAUUGGGUUUAAAGGGUGCGUAGGCGGAGUGUUAAGUCAGUGGUGAAAUGUUGCGGCUCAACCCCAGAAUUGCAGUUGAAACUGGCGGUCUUGAGUAGAGUAGAGGUAGGCGGAAUGCGUGGUGUAGCGGUGAAAUGCUUAGAUAUCACGCAGAACCCCGAUUGCGAAGGCAGCAUACCGGACUCAAACUGACGUUGAGGCACGAAAGCGUGGGUAUCGAACAGGAUUAGAUACCCGUGUAGUC
Molecule: ribosomal RNA, 460 nt
Filed under: uncultured bacterium
Lineage: Bacteria
Description: partial 16S ribosomal RNA
Rfam family: Bacterial small subunit ribosomal RNA
Source: RNAcentral